UUUUCAUCUCGCUGACAAAAAAUUAAUUUUAGCUUCCUAUUAUGUCAUACAAACAAUAUUUCUGUUACCUCUUCCUCUCACGUUGCUGUCAGCCCAGGUUGAAUAUUGAUUCCCAGACCACACGGAAGAGGAAACCCACACGGCGAAGUUCAGAAGCGUCCUGUUAGCGUAAAUGGCCGUUAAACCAGAAAGCUCCUACAUGCCGGAGCCCGGAGCUCCACUUCGCAGGUUUUUACCCUCAAGUCGCGCUGAUUAUCCUGGGAUGACAGGUUUAAAAGGAGAAGAAGCCUCAUCUGUUGAUCUUCAUCUGUUGCUAAGUGCCUGGGAUAGACGACAGAGUGACUUCACUGUUUUCCAUGGACUAAGAUGAAUUAUUGACUAAAAUGCUCCCAAGCUAGGGAUGGUGUGGAAUUGAGCUGAAAGAGUGAGCUCCUCCUUUGACAUUCAUCUCAUAAAAAUAUGUGAGCUGCAUCUCCAUUAAAGGUUGGUGAAGAUUCAACCAUGCACAUCUUUCACCUUGGCCAUUCUAAAGGAAGACAGAAAGACACUAACAUCAGCUGUGUUCUAUUAUGCUUUCUUUCUAUUGAAUUGCCAUUAAAGCUCAGUAUCUUAAACUCAAGAGUUUGGGGACAACUUAAAGUUAAAUGGUGAUAAACUUGAAGCAUGGUAGAUAUUUGCUAGCUGCACAACCCCUCCCCCCUUUUUCAGUAACAAUCUUAUCGUGAUCUUUGUCUA
This 735-nucleotide long non-coding RNA is filed under the name Mus spicilegus (steppe mouse). RNAcentral's name for it is "lncRNA (ENSMSIG00000019674.1)". The record is from RNAcentral. Lineage: Eukaryota; Metazoa; Chordata; Mammalia; Rodentia; Muridae.